UUCUUAUUCGCUGGCAUUUGUAUCGUGAAAUUUGGUAAGUAUUGUAAUAAAACCGAAUUAUUUUACAAGUAAAUUAUAAUUUUGCAUUUAUUAGGUCAUUUCCUUAGUGUUUUCCUGGCCGACCUGUGCUGGUAUUGUAAUUAAGAGCUAAUACACCAUUCUCUGGUGAACUGCAGCUGCGGCCGAAUUUGAUUGUGUGCAUCAUCCUGCAGAUAUUUUGAAGUAAGUUGGAACCAGCUCUUUGUUAUUUCAAAACCUAAUGAACCAUUUAUUCGCAGAUUUUGUGGGCCCUUCUGCUGUGCUGCGUUCCUGCUCCGCCUGUGUAUUUCUCCGCCCGUGUUUUAUAGUGUUGCGUCCCUGUUGCGCCUUUGCAUUAGUGUGUGCGUUGUGCUUUAGACACGUUGAAAUUGUUUGUAUGCUUCUGCUGUGCGGCGUUCCUGCUUCACCCGUG
Long non-coding RNA from Rhagoletis pomonella (apple maggot), 451 nucleotides. RefSeq lists it as uncharacterized. The transcript has 3 exons. Lineage: Eukaryota; Metazoa; Arthropoda; Insecta; Diptera; Tephritidae. The record is from RefSeq and is a predicted model, not a curated record.